AUGGCGCCCGUCGUCAAGUUCGUCGUCGCCGCCCUGCUAGUGCUUGCGGCCAUCGCUGGCCCUGGAGGCGUCGGCGUCGCCUCGGCCACCACCGGCGCUGCUGGCCCCGCGGCGGCGCCAUCGCCGGCCCCACUCGUCGCUCGCCUCCGCCUCGCGCUCUCGGGCAUGGCGGAGGAGCAGCAGGGCGGCGGGUGGAUGAUGGAGUGCUGGGGCGCGGUGACGGAGCUGCGGUCGUGCACCAGCGAGAUCGUGCUCUUCUUCCUCAACGGCGAGUCCUACCUGGGCCGCGACUGCUGCAUCGCCAUCCGCACCGUCACGCUCCACUGCUGGCCCUCCAUGCUCGCCUCCAUAGGCUUGACCGCCCAGGAGGCCGACAUCCUCCGCGGCUUCUGCGACGCUGAGAUCCCACACGCUCCUCCCCCGCCGGCGCCGGCCGCCGUGCCGGCGCCUGCUGCGCAGCCAUGA
Molecule: ribosomal RNA, 465 nt
Filed under: Triticum aestivum (bread wheat)
Lineage: Eukaryota; Viridiplantae; Streptophyta; Magnoliopsida; Poales; Poaceae
Description: partial small subunit ribosomal RNA
Source: RNAcentral